Molecule: ribosomal RNA, 2052 nt
Filed under: metagenome
Description: bacterial LSU rRNA
Rfam family: Bacterial large subunit ribosomal RNA
Source: RNAcentral
UAAAGCUACUAAGAGCUAAUGGAGAAUGCCUUGGUACUGACAGCCGAAGAAGGACGUGUAAAGCUGCGAUAAGCUUCGGGGAGUUGCUAAAAGACCUUGAUCCGAAGAAUUCCGAAUGGGGAAACCCUGCAAGGUUAAAACCUUGUAAUCCAUAGAUGAAUACAUAGUCUAUGAGAAGGAAAGCCUGUGAACUGAAACAUCUUAGUAACAGGACGAAAAGAAAAUAACCGAAUGAUUCCGAAAGUAGCGGCGAGCGAAAUCGGAAGAGCCUAAACAGUAUGUACGUGAUAGACUGCAAUCGUUGUGCAUAUUGGGUUGUGGGACUUACCGUAUAAUUUGCAGAUUAUACAAAGAGUUACAAAAUUAUUUAUUAGCUAAAGACAACUGGGAAGUUGCGCCAUAGCGGGUGAUAGCCCCUUAAGCGACAAUAAAUGAUCUCUUGUAAGUAUCCCGAGUAAGGCGGGGCACGUGAAACCCUGUCUGAAUCCACCGGGACCAUCCGGUAAGGCUAAAUACUAGUCAGUGACCGAUAGUGAACGAGUACAGUGAUGGAAAGGCGAAAAGAACAGUGAGAAGCUGAGUGAAAUAGACCCUGAAACCGUUAGCUUACAAUCAGUCAGAGCACUAUUAAUAGUGUGAUGGCGUGCCUGUUGAAGAAUGAGCCGGCGAGUUAUCUUAUGUUGCAAGGUUAAGGAGUUAAUAUCCGGAGCCAUAGCGAAAGCGAGUUUGAAAAGAGCGUUAAGUAACAUGCGAUAGACCCGAACCUUGGUGAUCUAACCUUGACCAGGAUGAAGCGUGGGUAACACUACGUGGAGGUCCGAACCGACUGAUGUUGAAAAAUCAGCGGAUGAGUUGAGGUUAGGGGUGAAAUGCCAAUCGAACCAAGAGCUAGCUGGUUCUCCCCGAAAUGCGUUUAGGCACAGCGUCAGAUUUAUCUUACAGGAGGUAGAGCACUGGUUUUGUGCGGGCGGCGAAAUGCUGUACCAAACAAUGUCAAACUCCGAAUGCCUGUAAUGUUAUUGUCUGGCAGUGAGGCUAUGAGUGAUAAGAUCCAUGGCCAAGAGGGAAACAGCCCAGAACGCCAGUUAAGGUCCCUAAUAUAUGCUAAGUGGUUAAGGAGGUAGAGUUGCUGAGACAACCAGGAGGUUGGCUUAGAAGCAGCCAUCCCUUGAAAGAGUGCGUAAUAGCUCACUGGUCAAGCGACUCCGCGCCGAAAAUACACCGGGACUCAAGCAUAUAACCGAAACUGCGUCAUAUAGUUUACUAUAUGGGUAGGGGAGCGUUCUGUUGUAGGAUGAAGUAAGAUCGAAAGGACUUAUGGACGAAGCAGAAGUGAGAAUGUCGGCAUAAGUAGCGAAAACAUUGGUGAGAAUCCAAUGCACCGUAAACCUAAGGUUUCCCCUGGCAGGCUCGUCCGCGGGGGGUUAGUCGGACCCUAAGCUCAGGCCGAAAGGCGUAGGCGAUGGACAUCAGGUUGAUAUUCCUGAACUAUCAGGUAAUCGUUAUCAGAUGCGGAGGGACGCAGGAGGAUAGGCACGCAGCCGAUUGGAAGAGGCUGUUUAAGCGUGUAGCUAGUUUGAGUAGGAAAAUCCGCUCAGGCGUUAUGACGUGAGGCGUAAUGAGGAGAGUCUACGGACUCGAAGGUGUUGACUCCACACUGCCAAGAAAAACUUCGCACUCGAGAUUAUCCGGUAUCCGUACCGUAAACCGCCACAGGUAGGUUAGUAGAACAUACUAAGGUGCGCGAGACAACUCUCGCUAAGGAACUCGGCAAAAUCACCUCGUAACUUCGGGAGAAGAGGUACCCUGGUAGAGUGAAGCGAUUUACUCGUGGAGCUUGAUAGGGUCGCAGUGAAUUGGCCCAUGCGACUGUUUACCAAAAACACAGGUCUCUGCUAAGUCGAACAAGACGAUGUAUAGGGGCUGACGCCUGCCCGGUGUCGGAAGGUUACGUGGAAGGGUUAGAGGUAACUCGAAGCUCUGAAACUAAGCCCCGAUGAACGGCGGCCGUAACUAUAACGGUCCUAAGGUAGCGAAAUUCCUUGUCAGGUA